RNAcentral lists this long non-coding RNA (2473 nucleotides) under Brassica napus (rape). Its description in RNAcentral is "long non-coding RNA (BNAP_LNC008678)". The record is from RNAcentral. Lineage: Eukaryota; Viridiplantae; Streptophyta; Magnoliopsida; Brassicales; Brassicaceae.
AGAAUCGUCAGUACCGCAAGACAUAUCAUCGACCACAUGAUUUGAUUUAGGGCCGUGCGUUUGUAGAGUUUCAUCAGCUUCAGUCCCUAAGUUUGAAUCCCCUGGAUUGUUGGGAGGUCCAUCCUCAAUAGGAACUGUAGAAUCAACUACCGGUAUGGUUUUGGCGGUGCUAUCUUGGUUUGAUGUACUUGGAUGAUUUUCAGACGGUUCAUAUCAAUCAAUCUCAGACGUUAAUUUUGUCAAUAAACCAGAUAACAGACAAAACAAGUGGGUACUGUUACCUCUCUGUUUUGUCUUCAGAACCUUCUGGAGAAAUCUCAUUGCUUGGUCUUGUGUGCUUCUCAAGUUUUCGUCUUGUCAUGCUCUUCCUACAAAAGACAACUCACAAGUGUUAAUUUGCAUCGUUCAAAAGACCCAAGUUCAAUCUUCAUGAGAGUCAUCUUGUUAUAACAUAUAGUUAACCUUUUCUUGAAUGCUAGUAAGGUUUCGUUAUCGGAUUCAUCAGCUGAAGAAUCAUCAUGGUCAUCUUGCAGCUUCAUGCCAGCUUCUGACUUCUUACCACGAGGGAGACGCAGCCCAAGUUGCUUUAAUUUACGUGAAACUUGGCCAGUGGUAUAUGUGUUCUCAGACCCCAAUUCAUUGGCAAUUAAAUAACAGCAGCGCCUUUCGUCCUUAAAUCUGCACAUAGACAAAUAUUUGGAAAAAAAAAGGAGUUAAUAAACCUGUUGCGCAUAGAGAGUUUAUGCAGAGGAGGCGAAGUUUGACCACUCACUUCUCGUAUAAUUCCUUAAUAAGUGUUUCUUGUUCUUUGCUAAAGGAACUCACUCUUUUUCUGCUGUUUCUGUUUCAAAAACAGAAGAUAAAAGUCAGUUAAGAGAAAAAUAAUGUAUAAGGUUUGGAAAUUCUGUAAACUUUUAGGAGAUACUCACGAAGGUUGCUGAUCUGAUGCUGCCUCUACGUGAUUUGGAUCAUCAUUUCCAUUACUGCCUUUACUUGCUUCCAUAGAGUUCGCACCACGCCGAAGUCUUUUCCUUGUUUCUAGCCCUAGCUGUUUAAGCUUGUUGGUUACUUGCGCAGCAGAUAUUCCACCAUUAGGAUCCAAAGUUUCGGCAAUAAGCCUGCUGCAAUCUUUAUCAUCUUUGAACCUGCAAAAACUUUUAUUUUAAUCAACCAAUUGAAUAAACUCUUAACUACCAUGGCUCACAUGUAAAAUUUUGAGUUUUACAACUUCCAGUCCCCUUAUGAAAUCCCAUGGAUCAAUACUUAUAUAUUUCAAAGCGAGAAAUAGCAGAAACUCCACACAGUGAUUUGUGUUAUUUACUUGAGUAACUAACUCGACACAUCGAACAAAACAUACCUUUCGUAUAGAUCUCUAAUUUUUGUCUCCAUGUCAGCAUCAAGAACAAGUCUUCUCUUUCUUUUAGAUGGUCCUGCAGAUUCAUUUUCUACAAUGUGAUCGUCCUCACUGCAGCAAGCAAAAAUCACAAACUUUGACAAAUAGAAAUGAACAGUUUCUUCAGCUAACAAGAAACAAGAGGUAUAUAAAGUAGUAUCACAAGGGGAAUUUUUCGAACUUUUGAAACCCUUGAUCAUAAGAUAUCACAACGUCAGCUUCAUCAUCCCCAAGAGCAUCUGCUAUGUUUCUGCGGGCCCAUCCUUUGUCCGAUGACGAAACAUUUUCUUGAGUUCCUGAGGCCUUUUCUUGAUUUCCCAUUUGUUUUCUUAGAUGGCCAAGUUCAUGCAACAUAUAUUCGGCAUUUAUGUAAUGGCAUUCUUUGCGACUCUUUGGGAAGAGAAUUUCCACAAAAAGAAGAGGCUGUGACUUCAUUUUCUUCAGCAUAUUUCUAACCAGAUCUGUCAGGAAGGUAACUAUGUUUUCAUAGUCUUUACUGGGACAAGCUUUCUGCUCAUCAAGGAUCUUAUGGAACGUUAUAAGCAGUGACAGCUGGAAAAAAUAACACAAUAAAACAGUGAGGAAGCUGCAAAGUAAUAAAAAGAAACUUACAAUUUGGGGUGUGAUUUAAUACACUAACCUGAUACAACAUGGGAGACAGUUCCAGGUCUUCUGUAAUCCUCCGCAAAAUGCUUAUUACGUGGUGAUUCGUCUGUUUUGUGUUGCUUUUGUAAAACUUAAGUAACCAGCAUAUGUUUUGAAUGAUGCUGUUGUUUGCAAAAGCAGAAAUAAAUGUGGAAACCUUAAAAUCAACUUCAUCUGUUGCAGUUUGGUCUUCUCCAUCAGAAGAAUCGUCAGUACCGCAAGACAUAUCAUCGACCACAUGAUUUGAUUUAGGGCCGUGCGUUUGUAGAGUUUCAUCAGCUUCAGUCCCUAAGUUUGAAUCCCCUGGAUUGUUGGGAGGUCCAUCCUCAAUAGGAACUGUAGAAUCAACUACCGGUAUGGUUUUGGCGGUGCUAUCUUGGUUUGAUGUACUUGGAUGAUUUUCAGACGGUUCAUGCAAUGUGGCCUCCUUAUUUC